Molecule: ribosomal RNA, 557 nt
Filed under: Sphingopyxis sp. HRRP016
Lineage: Bacteria; Pseudomonadati; Pseudomonadota; Alphaproteobacteria; Sphingomonadales; Sphingopyxidaceae
Description: bacterial SSU rRNA
Rfam family: Bacterial small subunit ribosomal RNA
Source: RNAcentral
ACGGGUGCGUAACGCGUGGGAAUCUGCCCUUGGGUACGGAAUAACUCAGAGAAAUUUGUGCUAAUACCGUAUAAUGACUUCGGUCCAAAGAUUUAUCGCCCAAGGAUGAGCCCGCGUAAGAUUAGCUAGUUGGUGGGGUAAAAGCCUACCAAGGCGACGAUCUUUAGCUGGUCUGAGAGGAUGAUCAGCCACACUGGGACUGAGACACGGCCCAGACUCCUACGGGAGGCAGCAGUGGGGAAUAUUGGACAAUGGGCGAAAGCCUGAUCCAGCAAUGCCGCGUGAGUGAUGAAGGCCCUAGGGUUGUAAAGCUCUUUUACCCGGGAUGAUAAUGACAGUACCGGGAGAAUAAGCUCCGGCUAACUCCGUGCCAGCAGCCGCGGUAAUACGGAGGGAGCUAGCGUUGUUCGGAAUUACUGGGCGUAAAGCGCGCGUAGGCGGUCUUUUAAGUCAGAGGUGAAAGCCCGGGGCUCAACCCCGGAAUAGCCUUUGAAACUGGAAGACUUGAAUCUUGGAGAGGUCAGUGGAAUUCCGAGUGUAGAGGUGAAAUUCGUAGA